RNAcentral lists this ribosomal RNA (468 nucleotides) under uncultured bacterium. RNAcentral describes it as "partial 16S ribosomal RNA". It matches the Rfam family "Bacterial small subunit ribosomal RNA", at positions 28 to 507 of the family's 1533-position model. The record is from RNAcentral.
GACGAACGCUGGCGGCGUGCUUAACACAUGCAAGUCGAACGGAAAGGCCCUGCUUUUGUGGGGUGCUCGAGUGGCGGACGGGUGAGUAACACGUGAGUAACCUGCCCUUGACUUUGGGAUAACUUCAGGAAACUGGGGCUAAUACCGGAUAGGAGCUCCUGCUGCAUGGUGGGGGUUGGAAAGUUUCGGCGGUUGGGGAUGGACUCGCGGCUUAUCAGCUUGUUGGUGGGGUAGUGGCUUACCAAGGCUUUGACGGGUAGCCGGCCUGAGAGGGUGACCGGCCACAUUGGGACUGAGAUACAGCCCAGACUCCUACGGGAGGCAGCAGUGGGGAAUAUUGAACAAUGGGAGGAAGCCUGAUGCAGCAACGCCGCGUGCGGGAUGAAGGCCUUCGGGUUGUAAACCGCUUUCGCCUGUGACGAAGCGUGAGUGACGGUAAUGGGUAAAGAAGCAACGGCUAACUACGUG